RNAcentral lists this non-coding RNA (185 nucleotides) under Kandleria vitulina. RNAcentral describes it as "T-box sequence". It matches the Rfam family "T-box leader". From Rfam's summary of the family: Uncharged tRNA acts as the effector for transcription antitermination of genes in the T-box leader family. T-boxes are found upstream of many aminoacyl-tRNA synthetase genes and some amino acid biosynthetic genes usually in Gram-positive bacteria. The record is from RNAcentral. Lineage: Bacteria; Bacillati; Bacillota; Erysipelotrichia; Erysipelotrichales; Coprobacillaceae.
ACAGAUUCUAUGAAGAAGAUUAAAUAGUGGAAUUUUUACAGAGACGUCGUGGCAGGUGGAAACGAUGAAAAAGAAGCUAUGGGACACUUUGGAGAAUGCGAAUGCACGUGAUCUCGCGUUAAGAGAAAAAGCGCAUGGAAACAUGAACUAAGGUGGUACCGCGUUACUAACAUGACGUCCUUAGA